Long non-coding RNA from Antechinus flavipes (yellow-footed antechinus), 379 nucleotides. RefSeq lists it as uncharacterized. The record is from RefSeq and is a predicted model, not a curated record. Lineage: Eukaryota; Metazoa; Chordata; Mammalia; Dasyuromorphia; Dasyuridae. The transcript is spliced from 3 exons.
CAGCAAUGAGAAAUGAGAAAACAAAAUGAGAAAAAUGAGCCUGAGAGAGGUUGAGUAAUUCUCACUAUGACAGUUGAAUAUAUUCAGGAGGAAUGGAUGGCGAUUACAGAGGCUCAUAUGUAAAUGUGGCAGGAGCUAUGAUAAAUGCUGGGGUACAAAGAAAGCCAUGCUCAAAGAGGUCACCAUCAAUCUGCAAACAGCCACAUGGAAACAAGGUCUUUGGAAGCUGGUGAUCCUCUGAUCAUUACGAAUUUGAAAAACAAUCCAACUAUCUUGGGAUGAAUAGGGCUGGGUUUGCCUAUUGACUGGCAGAUUCUAUAAAGCCCUCAAUAUCAUACAGGUAAAACACAGGAAAAUAAAGAAAAUGACCCAGAACACA